GCCAGCUUUGUGUAGUGGUUUGAGGAUUGGACUAUAACUCUGGAGACCAGGGUUCAAAUCCCAGCUUGGGCA
This is a non-coding RNA of Phrynosoma platyrhinos (Desert horned lizard), 72 nucleotides long. NCBI's taxonomy places the organism in Eukaryota, Metazoa, Chordata, Lepidosauria, Squamata, Phrynosomatidae. The record is from the annotation of a GenBank genome assembly.